Molecule: ribosomal RNA, 237 nt
Filed under: Triticum aestivum (bread wheat)
Lineage: Eukaryota; Viridiplantae; Streptophyta; Magnoliopsida; Poales; Poaceae
Description: partial small subunit ribosomal RNA
Source: RNAcentral
AUGGGCAAGCUCGUCUCCGCCGCGCUCCUCCUGGUGCUGCUGCUCGCGGCGACGGGGGAGAUGGGAGGCCCGGUGGCGGUGGCGGAAGCUCGGAGGUGCGAGUCGCUGAGCCACAGGUUCGCGGGCCUCUGCCUGCGCGGCCACAACUGCGCCAACGUCUGCCGGACCGAGGGCUUUCCCGACGGGAAGUGCCGCGGCGCCCGCCGCCGCUGCUUCUGCACCACCCACUGCCGCUAG